AGGGAGGAAGGCUCUUGGGUUGUAAACCUCUUUUCUCAGGGAAGAAGCUCUGACGGUACCUGAGGAAUCAGCCUCGGCUAACUCCGUGCCAGCAGCCGCGGUAAUACGGAGGAGGCAAGCGUUAUCCGGAAUUAUUGGGCGUAAAGCGUCCGCAGGUGGCGAUUCAAGUCUGCUGUCAAAGCMCGGGGCUUAACUYCGUUAAGGCAGUGGAAACUGAAUAGCUAGAGUGCCGUAGGGGUAGAGGGAAUUCCCGGUGUAGCGGUGAAAUGCGUAGAGAUCGGGAAGAACAUCGGUGGCGAAAGCGCUCUACUGGACSGCAACU
Molecule: ribosomal RNA, 322 nt
Filed under: uncultured cyanobacterium
Lineage: Bacteria; Bacillati; Cyanobacteriota
Description: bacterial SSU rRNA
Rfam family: Bacterial small subunit ribosomal RNA
Source: RNAcentral